RNAcentral lists this ribosomal RNA (433 nucleotides) under uncultured bacterium. RNAcentral's name for it is "partial 16S ribosomal RNA". It matches the Rfam family "Bacterial small subunit ribosomal RNA", at positions 29 to 507 of the family's 1533-position model. The record is from RNAcentral.
AACGAACGCUGGCGGCAUGCCUAACACAUGCAAGUCGAACGAGACCUUCGGGUCUUUUGGCGCACGGGUGCGUAACGCGGGGGAACCUGCCCUUAGGUUCGGAAUAACUCCCCGAAAGGGGUGCUAAUACCGGUUAAUGUCUUCGGACCAAAGAUUUAUCGCCUUUGGAUGGGCCCGCGUUGGAUUAGCUAGUUGGUAGGGUAAAAGCAUACCAAGGAGACGUUCCAUAGCUGGUCUGAGAGGAUGAUAAGCCACACUGGGACUGAGACACGGACCAGAAUCGUACGGGAGGGAGCAGUGGGGAAUAUUGGGCAAUGGGCGAAAGCCUAAUAAAGCAAUGCCGCGUGAGUGAUGAAGGCCUUAGGGUUGUAAAGCUCUUUUAGCCGGGAUGAUAAUGACAGUACCGGGAGAAUAAGCACCGGCUAACUCCGUG